RNAcentral lists this ribosomal RNA (435 nucleotides) under uncultured bacterium. RNAcentral's name for it is "partial 16S ribosomal RNA". It matches the Rfam family "Bacterial small subunit ribosomal RNA", at positions 29 to 507 of the family's 1533-position model. The record is from RNAcentral.
AGCGAACGCUGGCGGCAGGCUUAACACAUGCAAGUCGAACGGGCUUCUUCGGAAGUCAGUGGCGGACGGGUGAGUAACACGUGGGAACGUGCCCUUCGGUUCGGAAUAACUCAGGGAAACUUGAGCUAAUACCGGAUACGCCCUUUUGGGGAAAGGUUUACUGCCGAAGGAUCGGCCCGCGUCUGAUUAGCUUGUUGGUGGGGUAACGGCCUACCAAGGCGACGAUCAGUAGCUGGUCUGAGAGGAUGAUCAGCCACACUGGGACUGAGACACGGCCCAGACUCCUACGGGAGGCAGCAGUGGGGAAUAUUGGACAAUGGGCGCAAGCCUGAUCCAGCCAUGCCGCGUGAGUGAUGAAGGCCUUAGGGUUGUAAAGCUCUUUUGUCCGGGACGAUAAUGACGGUACCGGAAGAAUAAGCCCCGGCUAACUUCGUG